RNAcentral lists this transfer RNA (53 nucleotides) under Paralongidorus litoralis. RNAcentral describes it as "tRNA-Ile". Lineage: Eukaryota; Metazoa; Nematoda; Enoplea; Dorylaimida; Longidoridae. The record is from RNAcentral.
AGUGUCUUUUAAGUGUACAGUGAUAUUGUACAAGAGCCUAACGGCGGACACUA